This 765-nucleotide ribosomal RNA is filed under the name uncultured bacterium. RNAcentral describes it as "bacterial SSU rRNA". It matches the Rfam family "Bacterial small subunit ribosomal RNA", at positions 61 to 816 of the family's 1533-position model. The record is from RNAcentral.
GUCGAGCGCUUAUUUUCUGGUAGCAUAUCGGGAAGUAGGAGCGGCGCAAGGGUGCGUAACACGUGGAUCAUCUGCCUGGAAGUUCGGAAUAAUCCCGAGAAAUCGGGACUAAUGCCGGAUGUGGUUGAAAGACUAAAGUUGGGGACCGCAAGGCCUGACGCUUCCAGAUGAGUCCGCGGCCUAUCAGCUAGUUGGCGGGGUAAUGGCCCACCAAGGCUAAGACGGGUAGCUGGUCUGAGAGGACGACCGGCCACACUGGAACUGAGACACGGUCCAGACACCUACGGGUGGCAGCAGUCGAGAAUUUUUCUCAAUGGGCGAAAGCCUGAAGGAGCGACGCCGCGUGGGGGAUGAAGGGCUUCGGUCCGUAAACCCCUGUCAUUUGCGAACAAACCUUACGAUUGAACAUUUCGUAAGCUGAUCGUAGCGAAAGAGGAAGGGACGGCUAACUCUGUGCCAGCAGCCGCGGUAAUACAGAGGUCCCAAGCGUUGUUCGGAUUCACUGGGCGUAAAGGGUGCGCAGGUGGCAUGGUAAGUUUGGUGUGAAAGCUUCGGGCUUAACCCGGAAAUGGCAUUGAAAACUACUGUGCUGGAGGAUCGGAGGGGGGACUGGAAUUCUUGGUGUAGCAGUGAAAUGCGUAGAUAUCAAGAGGAACACCAGUGGCGAAGGCGAGUCCCUGGACGAUACCUGACACUGAGGCACGAAAGCCAAGGGAGCAAACAGGAUUAGAUACCCUGGUAGUCUUGGCUGUAAACGGUGCGUAU